GAUCAUGGCUCAGGAUGAACGCUAGCUACAGGCUUAACACAUGCAAGUCGAGGGGCAGCAUGAACUUAGCUUGCUAAGUUUGAUGGCGACCGGCGCACGGGUGAGUAACACGUAUCCAACCUUCCCGUUACUCUGGGAUAGCCUUUCGAAAGAAAGAUUAAUACCGGAUAGUAUCGAGAGAUUGCAUGAUAACCCGAUUAAAGAUUCAUCGGUAACGGAGUGGGGAUGCGUUCCAUUAG
Molecule: ribosomal RNA, 239 nt
Filed under: uncultured bacterium
Lineage: Bacteria
Description: partial 16S ribosomal RNA
Rfam family: Bacterial small subunit ribosomal RNA
Source: RNAcentral